RNAcentral lists this ribosomal RNA (1097 nucleotides) under Bacillus sp. (in: firmicutes). Its description in RNAcentral is "bacterial SSU rRNA". It matches the Rfam family "Bacterial small subunit ribosomal RNA", at positions 39 to 1109 of the family's 1533-position model. Lineage: Bacteria; Bacillati; Bacillota; Bacilli; Caryophanales; Bacillaceae. The record is from RNAcentral.
GGGGUGUGGGGCAGCUACACUUGCAGUCGUAACAAGUGUAACCAAGGAGCUUGCUCUUAUGAAGUUAGCGGCGGACGGGUGAGUAACACGUGGGUAACCUGCCCAUAAGACUGGGAUAACUCCGGGAAACCGGGGCUAAUACCGGAUAACAUUUUGAACCGCAUGGUUCGAAAUUGAAAGGCGGCUUCGGCUGUCACUUAUGGAUGGACCCGCGUCGCAUUAGCUAGUUGGUGAGGUAACGGCUCACCAAGGCAACGAUGCGUAGCCGACCUGAGAGGGUGAUCGGCCACACUGGGACUGAGACACGGCCCAGACUCCUACGGGAGGCAGCAGUAGGGAAUCUUCCGCAAUGGACGAAAGUCUGACGGAGCAACGCCGCGUGAGUGAUGAAGGCUUUCGGGUCGUAAAACUCUGUUGUUAGGGAAGAACAAGUGCUAGUUGAAUAAGCUGGCACCUUGACGGUACCUAACCAGAAAGCCACGGCUAACUACGUGCCAGCAGCCGCGGUAAUACGUAGGUGGCAAGCGUUAUCCGGAAUUAUUGGGCGUAAAGCGCGCGCAGGUGGUUUCUUAAGUCUGAUGUGAAAGCCCACGGCUCAACCGUGGAGGGUCAUUGGAAACUGGGAGACUUGAGUGCAGAAGAGGAAAGUGGAAUUCCAUGUGUAGCGGUGAAAUGCGUAGAGAUAUGGAGGAACACCAGUGGCGAAGGCGACUUUCUGGUCUGUAACUGACACUGAGGCGCGAAAGCGUGGGGAGCAAACAGGAUUAGAUACCCUGGUAGUCCACGCCGUAAACGAUGAGUGCUAAGUGUUAGAGGGUUUCCGCCCUUUAGUGCUGAAGUUAACGCAUUAAGCACUCCGCCUGGGGAGUACGGCCGCAAGGCUGAGACUCAAAGGAAUUGACGGGGGCCCGCACAAGCCGUGGAGCAUGUGGUUUAAUUCGAAGCAACGCGAAUAACCUUACCAGGUCUUGACAUCCUCUGACAACCCUAGAGAUAGGGCUUCUCCUUCGGGAACCGAAGGGCCAGUGGGGCAUGGUUGGCGUCAGCUCGGGCCAGGAAAGUUGGGGUUAAUUCCCGCAAGAAGCGAAAUCCUUGAA